CCUUAGAUUCCUCUCCCAGAAUACGCUGAUGACAUGGGAGAUGGGGAGCAGGAAAGCUCUGUCAGGAUCUCUCUUCAGCUGUGGUCAGAAAAAAAAUAUUUUCUUUCCCUGAAAGCUGUAAAUAGAUGGGUUUAUCUCUGGUCAUAAUAAACCACCACCACCCCCCUAAAUUUCUUUUUUGCCCUUAAAUUUGCCCAUGUCUCUUCCUUUCUUUGUGUAUUAAUCAGUAUUUGAUUUAAGUCAUCUUUUAUGUGAAAUUUUUAAAAAGAUCCACUUGAUCUUAGAUACAUCUUCUAAAUGUGAUUGGAUGGGAUUCACAUUAGUAUUAGAGACCAACAUGGUCAAUGGAUGUUUAAUUCUGAUAAGGUUUCAAUUUAUGAAUAUAUACAUAAUUCUUUGGUUUGAGAUUUUAUUUACCUCUUAUUGUUCUUCAUGGUA
RNAcentral lists this long non-coding RNA (438 nucleotides) under Homo sapiens (human). RNAcentral's name for it is "HSALNT0111768". The record is from RNAcentral. Lineage: Eukaryota; Metazoa; Chordata; Mammalia; Primates; Hominidae.